AGGGGUGUAGCUCAAUUUGGUAGAGCACCGGUCUCCAAAACCGGCGGUUGGGAGUUCGAGUCUCUCCGCCCCUG
RNAcentral lists this transfer RNA (74 nucleotides) under Thermogutta sp. RNAcentral's name for it is "tRNA-Trp". It matches the Rfam family "tRNA". From Rfam's summary of the family: Transfer RNA (tRNA) molecules are approximately 80 nucleotides in length. Lineage: Bacteria; Pseudomonadati; Planctomycetota; Planctomycetia; Pirellulales; Thermoguttaceae. The record is from RNAcentral. RNAcentral also lists the same sequence under 2 other names.